RNAcentral lists this ribosomal RNA (464 nucleotides) under Vreelandella stevensii. RNAcentral's name for it is "partial 16S ribosomal RNA". It matches the Rfam family "Bacterial small subunit ribosomal RNA", at positions 338 to 795 of the family's 1533-position model. The record is from RNAcentral. Lineage: Bacteria; Pseudomonadati; Pseudomonadota; Gammaproteobacteria; Oceanospirillales; Halomonadaceae.
CCUACGGGUGCUGCAGUGGGGAAUAUUGGACAAUGGGCGAAAGCCUGAUCCAGCCAUGCCGCGUGUGUGAAGAAGGCCUUCGGGUUGUAAAGCACUUUCAGUGGGGAAGAAAGCCUUGGGGCUAAUACCCUCGAGGAAGGACAUCACCCACAGAAGAAGCACCGGCUAACUCCGUGCCAGCAGCCGCGGUAAUACGGAGGGUGCGAGCGUUAAUCGGAAUUACUGGGCGUAAAGCGCGCGUAGGCGGUCUGAUAAGCCGGUUGUGAAAGCCCCGGGCUCAACCUGGGAACGGCAUCCGGAACUGUCAGGCUAGAGUGCAGGAGAGGAAGGUAGAAUUCCCGGUGUAGCAGUGAAAUGCGUAGAGAUCGGGAGGAAUACCAGUGGCGAAGGCGGCCUUCUGGACUGACACUGACGCUGAGGUGCGAAAGCGUGGGUAGCAAACAGGAUUAGAUACCCGGGUAGUC